GUGACUCAGCUUCCCUGCUUGUGCAAGAACAGCUGAACUCUGACCUCCUGAAUGGCCGACUCUUGCCUUGCUCCUCAGGGACCCCAGACACGAUCGUAGGAACCGGAGAUUUUAUGGAAAGAAGCUGAUAUUAUUUGGAGAAUGAAAAAAGAAAGAUGCACCUAGACAAAGGCACAUCAGGCCACUGUGCAGAAGAACAAGCAUGCUCUAGAAGUGUAUGUGCUGCUGUGGAAACACCUCUAAGAAAUACCGUAGAAACCCAAUGUGCAGAAUGCUCCAAGAAUGCCACCGUCUGUGCAAGAAAAAGUAUACACACAUCAGUGCACAGGUGUCUGAAUGUCUGUGUAACA
RNAcentral lists this long non-coding RNA (350 nucleotides) under Homo sapiens (human). Its description in RNAcentral is "HSALNT0400677". The record is from RNAcentral. Lineage: Eukaryota; Metazoa; Chordata; Mammalia; Primates; Hominidae.